Molecule: long non-coding RNA, 3973 nt
Organism: Equus quagga
Lineage: Eukaryota; Metazoa; Chordata; Mammalia; Perissodactyla; Equidae
Exons: 5
Source: RefSeq, a predicted model, not a curated record
AAAAGUGGUGAUGACAGAAAAUUGUCUGUUGCUUUUGAAAGAAGUGGAGUUUUCCUGUGUGUUUGACAUCCCCUUGGUGAAAGGUGACGAGCCUCUGAAGUUACCCUCCUUUCUGCCAUGCACACUCUGGAAGCUUCUUAAAAUGCUUCUGCUCAGCAUCUGACUUUUUAAAAACUGCAUAAAUACAUUGAUCCAGAUUCCUCCAAGGAGCUAAACUUUUCCCGCGGAAGCAUGUUAACCUUUUCCAGGUUGCCCCCAAACCCAACAGAGCCAGUGACUUCCUCCACUAUGCUCUGCUGCAACAUUGACUGCUGUCCGCUCCUGGGCCCUAAUUGACUAGCUGAGUAUGCCACCCGCUGUCCCUGUAGCCUAGGAGCCUUGUUUGUCUCUGAUUGUCCUCUCCUGAGGCCCCCUGAAGGUGCGUGGAGAAUGUUGCAUAUAGUCAAGUCAGGGUCUCUCUGCACUGCCUGAAGCGGCCUUAUUGGUCAGAUAGUUAAUAAGCAACUCGUUUAUUGCCACUUUCGGAGUUUAUUGCUUAGACUGGUAGAAUGAACAAAUCACGGACACACACAUUUUUAGAUAGACAAACGGGUCGGUUAAGUAACCAAAAAUUUGCCAUGAAUUUGAGUCUGGGCCAAACAAAGGAAAAAACCAACCCAGGAAAUCUCCACCUCUCCACCCUUGUCAUUCAAGAAGAAAGUUUCUUUGCAAAUGUGUGCAUAGACUGUUUUUCAGUGUCGUUAUCCUGGGCAGUGAAAAUAGCACCCAUGGAUACUCGCCCCACCCCUUCUCACAUGGAGAACUAAGCUCGUAAGCUCGGGAGAAGACUUUUGGGUUUGGAAGGCUCCUCUGGGACAGAAACUGCCUUUAUUUUUCAGUCAUCCUCCCUCUGUCCCGAAGCAAAGAGAAAAUUGAACCAUGUUCAUCCGUGGAAGUCACUUCUUUGAUCCCGCUGCAUGGUGCCCCAUAAAUACAGCCCUGUCUCCUUCCCCCCCGUCUGCCCCGCGAAGGGUGAUUUUUCUGUCUUAUUGCAUCACCUGUUUGCUUUAAACCAUAAAUACCUGCCUCUGGUGAGACUCUCUUUUGUCCUUAGGUAUCGGAAUGGUUUGUGGGUUUGGUUGAAAGCUAGAGAGGAGAGAGAGCGCAGAAGAAGAAAAAAGGUAUUUUGCCUGAGGACUUGAAGCUCUUUUUUCCCUUUUCCUCCGCUUGACUGACUUUCUCACACUCAGAUUCCCUGCAGCCUGCCAGAGACGUGGUAGCUGCCCUGCCAAGAGCUAUCCUGGGAGGGCCAUUGAAAGAGCCUCCAGAAGUGACUAACGUUACCACCAAAGAUGGAUUUUCCAGUUGAGGACCAGAGCUGCCUGCUGGUUUUUAUCAGAACCGAAGAAGAUGUGAUGCUAGGAAUAUCGAGAAGGCAUUGGAGCACAAAGACAUUGAGCUGCUGGCUGACUUCACAUUUAGCAGAGGGAGAGCCCCUGGAGACAGACCUGGCCUUAAAGACCCCUGCAGCCUCAGGGCCCCUCAAACAUGAGAACAGGCACGAGGUGCUUCAUCAGCUUGGCGGUUGGUUUGCUGGUAUAUGGCAUAUGGCUCCCUGCAGCCCAGUUCCACAAAUGAUUAUGAGCACAUGGACCUGGUGCACAGACUGCCUGGGGCAGAGUAUCUGCCCUUAAACUGCUGGAACAAAGUUGAACCAAAGUUCAAAGAACAAGAAUCGAACAAAGAAUUACAGAACUACCCAGUGUCUUACUUCUAAUAUCCUUCGCCGAUAACCGGCGCCUUGUCUCAUCUCUCUAGCCCUCAGCCAGCACGUGUAGGACACUUAGUAGGAGCUUGGUGAAUAUUUGCUGAGAGGAUUCGUGAAUGAAUGGCUUGCUCCCCUCUUUGGGAGGAAGCACAGAUGUACCCGUAGCUCAGGGCCUUCCCCGGACUGGCUGGAGCUGUGUGGACGCCGUGGGCUCUGGGUUUUCCUCUUACGAGCUGGGCUGAUUACAACUGUUGGUUGUUGUCACCUGUUAUCAGCUGAAUUGUGUCCUCUGAAAAAAACAUAUUGAAGUUCUAACCCCCGGUACCUUAGGAUGAGACCUUAUUUAGAAAUAAGGAUUAUUAAAGAUUUGUGGCAGGGUUGUUGCAGAUGUAAUUAGCUAAAAUGAGGUCAAACUGGAGUAGGAUGGAGAAGAGACACAGAAGCAGAGACACACAGGGAGAAGGUGGCCGUGCGACCAUGGAAGCAGAGGAUGGACUGAUGCAUCUACAAACCAAGGCACUCUAAAGAAUGCUGGCAAACACCGGAAGCUAGCAGAGGCAAGCCAGGAUUCUCCCUUAUGGGUUUCCGAGGGAGCGUGGCCCAGCUGACUCCUUGAUGUCAGCCUUCCAGACUCCAGAACUGUGAGACCAGAAAUGCCUGUUGUUUUCAGCCCCCCCCAGUUUGCGGUACUUUGUUAUGGCAGCUCUGGGAAACUGGUAAUCACCCCACCCUCGAUAUUAUGCGUAAAAGGAAAAUCUAUGACCUCUUUUCCUUUAACUUCUGUGAAAUGUUCAUGGGAAAAGCUCUUUGGCUUGAACUUACUUUUUGGAAGCGUUAACUAUAGUUUCUCAUCAAAAUAUUUCAUGUAUUUAAAGCUCUAAAAGCUUGGUAUGUUGGGUUAUAUGUGUGGCAUAUAUUCGAUACUGAAACAAACAAAUCAAAAAGCAAACAUCCUCCCCCCAGACAAACAAAAAAAGCUCCCCCCUUAGUCUUCAUCUUUUUUAAGGCUAAUUUGCUGAGAGUAGGCUGCUAAGUUUGACCUGAGAGCUUGCAUACUGUUCAGUGUGACGGUGACUGUUACUUCCCCCUCUAGGAGGGGGCAUGAUUAUCUGGGUUAAAUAUGGUGCAGAGUCAUUGUCCAUCUCUCCACAGAAAUGAUGCCUCUUGCUUCUGCAUAUCUUCCUCGUGCUUUGUUUCAUCGAGCCAUCCUCCUGGGGGCAGAUUUCCAGCUCUGGCUGCUCCUCUGGUGCCCUUGAUCAAGGAAGCAUGGCCCUUCCCCCUCAAUCCUCAAGGAGAUUGAGGAAUUUGUAGGACCCACCUCAUUUCUGGUUAUUGAAUAACUGGCAGGGCAUCGAAUGUCAGGGCUAAGAAAACAGACCAGCCUACCUGUUAAAGCAAAUGACAUCAUAGCCCAGGCAGUUCUCAUGGUGUCGGCUUGCACUGUCUGUCAGCAACUCUUUCAUCACAAGCCCCACUUACAUCAUACUGUUCUGAACACCUAACCUGAUCAUUGUCACUGUGCCUACAACAUGGGUGAGUGACAGCAGCUUAAGGUUCUGAUUAAGCCUGGGCAGUCUUGCAUGAGGGGGAAGGGGUCUUUUUUUUUCAGCCUUAAGAAUGGAAGAUAUCAAUGGGGAAGAAAUGAGGGGCUUAUUGUGUUUUAAUUCAAAAUUCACCAUUAACUUCCCAACCUGGAUUUCCAGCCCACGGCUUCCCUCAGCAGUAGAUGGGGAGAAGGGCAAACCAUUAGCUCCCCCAUCCUUCCCUAAAUCUGGCCUACCUUACUAGGCCUUUCCUGCGGGGAAAAGAAGGUUCUGGCACCAUUUCUCUGGCAUGGGUACCACAGCAGCAACACUUAUGGAACUCUGUGAUCCACAAAUCUUUGAUGUGGAAAACAAUGUUCUCUGGGCUUUGGCGGAUGAUCAGAUGGCCUCCCUUAGGUUUUAUUUAUUUGUGGAACUGCUUUUCACCGCUGGUCCUGGAUUCCCAGUUAAUGUCUCUGAAAGAUCACCACGAAGAUGAGAAGAACAAAAAAUGAUCUUGAAGAGUAAGUCAUGGUUUCCUCAAGUUAGAGUUGGGAAAAUUGGGGGGAAACUGAAAGGGAUUUCAUUAUUUUCAGUGAUGUUAAAUUCAUUCAUUUUCUCACUCAUUCAUUGACUUAUUCAUUCAUUCAUUCAACAGACAUUUUCUAAAUGCCACUAUAGGCCAUGCACUGUGUGAUGUGUU